GGUCCUUUGGCUUAGUGGUUAGAUCAUACGCCUCAGAUGCGGGGGGUCAUGGGUUUGAACCCCAGCCAAGUCAUACCAAAGACC
This is a non-coding RNA of Potamilus streckersoni, 84 nucleotides long. The record is from the annotation of a GenBank genome assembly. Lineage: Eukaryota; Metazoa; Mollusca; Bivalvia; Unionida; Unionidae.